This 74-nucleotide transfer RNA is filed under the name Chitinophagaceae bacterium. RNAcentral describes it as "tRNA-Arg". It matches the Rfam family "tRNA". Rfam says of the family: Transfer RNA (tRNA) molecules are approximately 80 nucleotides in length. Their secondary structure includes four short double-helical elements and three loops (D, anti-codon, and T loops). The record is from RNAcentral. Lineage: Bacteria; Pseudomonadati; Bacteroidota; Chitinophagia; Chitinophagales; Chitinophagaceae.
GGUCCGGUAGCUCAGCUGGAUAGAGCAACAGCCUUCUAAGCUGUAGGCCCUUGGUUCGAAUCCAAGCCGGAUCA